GUCCGGGUGGUGCAGUGGUUAACACAACUGCCUAGUAAGCAGGAGAUCCUGGGUUCGAGUCCCGGUCCAGCACU
Molecule: non-coding RNA, 74 nt
Organism: Schistocerca americana (American grasshopper)
Lineage: Eukaryota; Metazoa; Arthropoda; Insecta; Orthoptera; Acrididae
Source: the annotation of a RefSeq genome assembly